GAUGAACGCUGGCGGCGUGCCUAAUACAUGCAAGUCGAGCGAACGGACGAGAAGCUUGCUUCUCUGAUGUUAGCGGCGGACGGGUGAGUAACACGUGGAUAACCUACCUAUAAGACUGGGAUAACUUCGGGAAACCGGAGCUAAUACCGGAUAAUAUUUUGAACCGCAUGAUUCAAAAGUGAAAGACGGUCUUGCUGUCACUUAUAGAUGGAUCCGCGCUGCAUUAGCUAGUUGGUAAGGUAACGGCUUACCAAGGCAACGAUGCAUAGCCGACCUGAGAGGGGGAUCGGCCACACUGGAACUGAGACACGGUCCAGACGCCUACGGGAGGCAGCAGUAGGGAAUCUUCCGCAAUGGGCGAAAGCCUGACGGAGCAACGCCGCGUGAGUGAUGAAGGUCUUCGGAUCGUAAAACUCUGUUAUUAGGGAAGAACAUAUGUGUAAGUAACUGUGCACAUCUGGACGGUACCUAAUCAGAAAGCCACGGCUAACUACGU
Molecule: ribosomal RNA, 496 nt
Filed under: uncultured bacterium
Lineage: Bacteria
Description: partial 16S ribosomal RNA
Rfam family: Bacterial small subunit ribosomal RNA
Source: RNAcentral